RNAcentral lists this ribosomal RNA (58 nucleotides) under uncultured fungus. RNAcentral describes it as "partial 28S ribosomal RNA". The record is from RNAcentral. Lineage: Eukaryota; Fungi.
UUGGUCUCAAAUCAAGCAAGACGCCCCGCCGAAAUUUAGCAUAUCAAUAAGCGGAGGA